AGCAGCCGCGGUAAUUCCAGCUCCAAUAGCGUAUAUUAAAGUUGUUGCAGUUAAAAAGCUCGUAGUUGAAUUUCGGGAUUGGCGCAUCGGUCGUGCCUCACGGGGUAUGAACUGGUGCAGUCAAUUUCUCACCUUCUGGAGAACCGCGAUGUCCUUAAUUGGAUGCCGCGGGGAACCAGGACCUUUACUUGAAAAAAUUGAGUGUUUAAAGCAGGCAUUUCUGCUUGAAUACAUUAGCAUGGAAUAUAAAAUAGGACGGCAUGGUUCUAUUUUGUGGUUUCUAGGACCACCGUAAUGAUUAAUAGGGAUAGUUGGGGGCAUUAGUAUUCAAUUGUCAGAGGUGAAAUUCUUGGAUUUAUUGAAGACUAACUACUGCGAAAGCAUUUGCCAAGGAUGUUUCAUUAAUCAAGAACGAAGUUAGGGAUCGAAGACGAUCAGAUACCGUCGUAGUCUUAACCAUAAACCUAUGCCGACUAGGAAUCAGACGAUGUUAAUUUUUAAUGUACUUCGUUAGGCUAAC
Molecule: ribosomal RNA, 520 nt
Filed under: uncultured Entrophospora
Lineage: Eukaryota; Fungi; Glomeromycota; Glomeromycetes; Entrophosporales; Entrophosporaceae
Description: SSU rRNA
Rfam family: Eukaryotic small subunit ribosomal RNA
Source: RNAcentral